CACGCAGGCGGUCUGUUCAGUCACGAGUGACAGGUGUCGGCUUAACUGACGCAGGCCUCGUGAGACGGGCAGACUUGAGAACUUGAGAGGGAGACGGAAUUCCGGGUGGAGCGGUGAAAUGCGUAGAGAUCCGGAGGAACACCGAAGGCGAAGGCAGUCUCCUGGCAAGUGUCUGACGCUCAGGUGCGAAAGCUCGGGGAGCGAACAGGAUUAGAUACCCUGGUAGUCCGAGCCGUAAACGAUGACCACUAGGCGUGGGAGGUAUCGACCCCUUCCGUGCCGGCGCUUACGCAAGAAGUGGUCCGCCUGGGGAGUACGGUCGCAAGAUUAAA
RNAcentral lists this ribosomal RNA (332 nucleotides) under uncultured bacterium. Its description in RNAcentral is "bacterial SSU rRNA". It matches the Rfam family "Bacterial small subunit ribosomal RNA", at positions 568 to 898 of the family's 1533-position model. The record is from RNAcentral.